CCAAGUUGGCCAUUCAAGCGUAUGUCUCCGCUGUGGUCGUUCACUCUUAGCCCGGCGGUUCAACCACCUUCUUCGUAAUGAUUCUGCUCGUGAAUCUGCGAUAUAUAAUGUGAUUAGAGAGUGGAUUCUACCACAAACGGUGGACGAGGCAAGUCGUAUAUGCCAUUCCUGUUGGAUAUUAGCAGACAGAGCUGCUGUUCAUAUGAGUACAGGUCCUUCGACUUCCUCACAAAGUAACCCACCGCCAGCCCAAUCAUCAGUUGGUGUUUCUGUUGGACAAUUGGAUGAAAAUCAUGACAACAUUCUACACGAACCUGAGAAUGUUUCCAUUCAACCAGAACAAAACCAAGGUAAUGAUGAUGUGCAUGAACCCUCAGUGGAACUACAUUCACCAAGUGCCCCAAUUGUGGAACCAGUACAACAGCACCCUGAACCAACAAUUGUAUUGCCAGAUUAUAUGCGGGCAGUUGAAACAGAGCGACGGUGCUUCAUAGAAGGUUGCCAGAGAACUGAACGAUAUAGAGUUCCUCUAGCAACGAGAAAAA
Molecule: long non-coding RNA, 545 nt
Organism: Helicoverpa armigera (cotton bollworm)
Lineage: Eukaryota; Metazoa; Arthropoda; Insecta; Lepidoptera; Noctuidae
Exons: 2
Source: RefSeq, a predicted model, not a curated record